RNAcentral lists this ribosomal RNA (358 nucleotides) under uncultured Bacteroidales bacterium. Its description in RNAcentral is "bacterial SSU rRNA". It matches the Rfam family "Bacterial small subunit ribosomal RNA", at positions 22 to 379 of the family's 1533-position model. Lineage: Bacteria; Pseudomonadati; Bacteroidota; Bacteroidia; Bacteroidales. The record is from RNAcentral.
GCUCAGGAUGAACGCUAGCUACAGGCUUAACACAUGCAAGUCGAGGGGUAGCAGGGUAGCAAUACCGCUGACGACCGGCGCACGGGUGAGUAACACGUAUCCAACCUUCCCAUAACUCAGGGAUAGCCUUUCGAAAGAAAGAUUAAUACCUGAUAGUACUUAAGAAAGGCAUCUUUUUUAAGUUAAAGAUUUAUUGGUUAUGGAUGGGGAUGCGUUCCAUUAGAUAGUUGGUGAGGUAACGGCUCACCAAGUCUUCGAUGGAUAGGGGUUCUGAGAGGAAGGUCCCCCACAUUGGUACUGAGACACGGACCAAACUCCUACGGGAGGCAGCAGUGAGGAAUAUUGGUCAAUGGGCGAG